GGAUUAGAUACCCUGGUAGUCCACGCCGUAAACGAUGUCUACUAGCCGUUGGGGUCCUUGAGACUUUAGUGGCGCAGUUAACGCGAUAAGUAGACCGCCUGGGGAGUACGGCCGCAAGGUUAAAACUCAAAUGAAUUGACGGGGGCCCGCACAAGCGGUGGAGCAUGUGGUUUAAUUCGAUGCAACGCGAAGAACCUUACCUGGUCUUGACAUAGUGAGAAUCUCUCAGAGAUGAGAGAGUGCCUUCGGGAACUCACAUACAGGUGCUGCAUGGCUGUCGUCAGCUCGUGCCG
Molecule: ribosomal RNA, 293 nt
Filed under: uncultured bacterium
Lineage: Bacteria
Description: partial 16S ribosomal RNA
Rfam family: Bacterial small subunit ribosomal RNA
Source: RNAcentral